Molecule: long non-coding RNA, 2543 nt
Filed under: Homo sapiens (human)
Lineage: Eukaryota; Metazoa; Chordata; Mammalia; Primates; Hominidae
Description: HSALNT0346276
Source: RNAcentral
UCCAGCGUGGAUGACAGAGCAAGAUUUUGCCUCAAAUAAAUAAUAAACAAACAAACAAAAUGACAAACUGGACAUAGGGGAAAUCGCUGGCUUUGGUAAGGUCAAGCUGAAGAAAAGAGAGACUCAGGAGAACACUCGGCCGACCAGAGACCACUGAGCGGAAGUAGAGUGAAACUUCCUAAGAGCCUGGAAGGUACCCCCUGUCCUCCUCGAGCCUGCAGUGCUGAUGUGGAGGAAGAGCCACCCACAAGAUGCGCCUGAGCCACAAGCCACACCGUGAACCCAGGGCAGCUACGACAGUGCCUGGUGCUUGGGGAGUGCUUGACAGAUUCAGGUUGAAGAAACAAAGGCAGGUACAGGCAAGGAAGGGAAUGAGGGGACCGAGGAAGGUCGGAAUGGCCCUGCUGGUCAUCAGGACUUGUGGACCCACUGCCGCCUGCCCUACUAUCCCCCACAUCGUCCAUCCCCCAGGCUCCAACAUGGCCCAGUGGGGUCCCAGACACAUUCGGGGGGCGGGCAGUGGGCGGCGUUUCAGUCUGGGAGGAGGCCUUUUCCCAGGCCCUGUGGACCUCCCCACCGGCGGGAAGCGAUCUUGCCAGGUGAUCCUACCGGAUCGCAUCUGCAGAACUACAACUGAGCCGCUCUCUCGGGUGAUUUGUGUCUCAAAACCACGCCAAGGCUGUAAAUCAGGUGGUAGGAAGCUCUGUCUCCUGUUUUCCUGCUCAGCCAGACGGAGACAGAAUGUACUGCCACCGGCUCCCAAAUCUGGAAAACCAAGUCUGAUUUAAGAGGAGAUGUUUUAGCAGACAUUAGCUCAGGUCAGGGCUGGGGAGCAGGGUCUCUUGCCUCUCCCUUCCUGCUCCGAAGGAGAAGGAAACAGCCACCUCCUCCCCAGCUGGGGGCUGAGUGGGUGGAGAACCUGAAAGGCAGGUGCCUAACAAGCCCUGGGGUUCGGUAGCAGCUGCUUAGAGCUCCUCCCCGGGAGGCUCCGGAGGGGAAUUUUCCACUGCCCCGUUCAAUUUACCAGGACAAUUUAGCUCAGCUAUACCGCGGCCUUGACUAUUUACAGUGGGGAGCGCAGGGCGGUGGAGGAGCCCUCUAAGAGUCCGUGCAAGAGGGCCGCGGCCCAGCUAGAAGGGUCUGCAGGGGGCAAGGUGUGGCGGAGCGGGCUUCAGGCGCAGGUUUUGCUUGCUUUCACCACGCCCCAGGUCUAGCUCACGGCCUGCACCUGGGAUGUUGGGGCUGUGCAGAGGCGCCGUGGGUGGGGACCAGGCCCCCUUUUAGAUAGGGAGGGGAGGAGCAGGGCCCCGGCUGCGGGGAGUUGGGAGAGAAGCCAAAGCGUCUCCCCCCUCCCUCUGUUCCUGCUUUCUCAGGAUGUCUGAGAUGCCCAGCGUGGGUGAGUGCACCCUCCCUCCCUGGCUCUGCUCCUCCCCCUCCCCGGAACCACCACCCCCUCAGCCCUGAGCUGCCGAUGCCCUCGGGGUUCUGUUUUCAUUCCAGGCUGUGGAUCCGGUCGUGGGAAGCAGAGUGAACUUCUAGGUUCUGAGCUGACUCCUUGGAAACCCUAGACUCCAGGGACGCGCUUCUAGAACCUGCUCAGAUUGCUACUCAGUUAACAGCCUGGCCCAGGAGGAUUGCAACACCCAGCCUGGCUCCCAGGCAAGCUAAAGAGGGCUUGAUGAUGGGAAGAGGUUAAGGGGUACGUGGAGAGAAAGAAGGAUCAGAAGGCGGAAACAUCAUAGACCUCCUGGGAUGCCUUCUGCAGGAUCACAGAGAAGGCAAAAUUUGUCCUCCUGACUACAAGAUGCCAAGAUACAUUUGUAUCGAGCCACUGAAUUCUCUACCCCUUCUGUAGAGGUGGUUGGGGAAGAGCUGCAGUAGGAAGCUGGGUCCCAAGUAAUGAAGGACCUUUAGAAGCAGAAGGUGUUAGGGUGGGGGCAAAGGACUGAACUCUGACCAACCAGAAGAAAGGAAAAACUGGAGUUCCUUUCCCCUAGGUCUGCCUUUCUUUCUCAGGGUCUCUAUUUACUUCUCAUGCACUUGACUCUCUGCUUCCCUCUCCCUCAUUUCCACAAAGGGGCCCAAGCUUCACAUGCAUCUCGCACCCCCGCACCUUGUGGGCAGGAAAUCUGAGCACAGGCAUUUCCUGUACGCUGAUAAAUGCCCACUGCAAAGAGCCCCAGCCUGAAGGUGGCCCUGUCUCCUAGUUAUGUCCCUCCACAUCCUUAUCUCCCCAGGCUCCAGCCCUCACCAGCAGGGACUCAACAAACGCCAUCUGUCAGAUGAGUCAUGGGACCAGAAGCUUGGGAGAAGACAUGCAGAGCCAACCACUAACAAAACUGGCAAAUGAAAUAAAUGCCCAGAAACCUGCUCCAUCCCCAGCAUUCCUUAAGUCCUAUAAAUUGCACCACCUUUUACCAGUUUUCAGAAACUAAAAGUCAUCCUUGACAUCCGUCCAAUCAAUCACCUCCUAUUUAUCUCCCAAAUUCAUUCUUUUUUCUUUUUGAAACAGAGUUUUUACUCUUGUUGCCCAGGCUGAAGUG